Molecule: transfer RNA, 88 nt
Filed under: Daucus carota subsp. sativus
Lineage: Eukaryota; Viridiplantae; Streptophyta; Magnoliopsida; Apiales; Apiaceae
Description: tRNA trnX-gta
Rfam family: tRNA
About the family: Transfer RNA (tRNA) molecules are approximately 80 nucleotides in length. Their secondary structure includes four short double-helical elements and three loops (D, anti-codon, and T loops).
Source: Rfam by way of RNAcentral
CCGACCUUAGCUCAGUUGGUAGAGCGGAAGACUGUAGUAGUUCUUGCAGAAAAUCUUUAGGUCGCUGGUUCGAAUCCGGCAGGUCGGA